UACGUAGGGAGCAAGCGUUAUCCGGAAUUAUUGGGUGUAAAGGGUGCGUAGACGGGAAAACAAGUUAGUUGCGAAAUCCCUCGGCUUAACUGAGGAACUGCAACUAAAACUAUUCUUCUUGAGUGCAGGAGAGGAAAGCGGAAUUCCUAGUGUAGCGGUGAAAUGCGUAGAUAUUAGGGGGAACACCAGUGGCGAAGGCGGCUUUCUGGACUGUAACUGACGUUGAGGCACGAAAGUGUGGGGAGCGAAC
RNAcentral lists this ribosomal RNA (250 nucleotides) under uncultured prokaryote. Its description in RNAcentral is "partial 16S ribosomal RNA". It matches the Rfam family "Bacterial small subunit ribosomal RNA", at positions 524 to 773 of the family's 1533-position model. The record is from RNAcentral.